This 315-nucleotide ribosomal RNA is filed under the name uncultured eukaryote. Its description in RNAcentral is "partial 18S ribosomal RNA". It matches the Rfam family "Eukaryotic small subunit ribosomal RNA", at positions 1470 to 1796 of the family's 1831-position model. The record is from RNAcentral.
CCCUUAGAUGUUCUGGGCUACACGCGCGCUACACUGACGCACGCAACAGGUGCCUGCUCCGAGAGGACUGGGUAAUCAUUUGAGUGUGCGUCGUGAUGGGGAUAGAAUAUUGUAAUUAUUACUCUUCAACGAGGAAUUCCUAGUAAGCGCCAGUCAGCAGCUUGCGCUGAUUACGUCCCUGCCCUUUGUACACACCGCCCGUCGCUCCUACCGAUGGGUGAUCCGGUGAAUGAUUCGGACUUCAGCGGCUCCCCUGGGGUGCGCCGGAGAAAGUUUUGUGAACCUUAUCACUUGGAGGAAGGAGAAGUCGUAACG